UCCUACGGGGGGCAGCAGUGAGGAAUAUUGGUCAAUGGCCGAGAGGCUGAACCAGCCAAGUCGCGUGAGGGAAGACGGCCCUACGGGUUGUAAACCUCUUUUGUCGGGGAGCAAAGCGAGUCACGUGUGACUCAUUGAGAGUACCCGAAGAAAAAGCAUCGGCUAACUCCGUGCCAGCAGCCGCGGUAAUACGUAGGGGGCAAGCGUUAUCCGGAUUUACUGGGUGUAAAGGGAGCGUAGACGGCUGUGCAAGUCUGAAGUGAAAGCCCAGGGCUCAACCCUGGGACUGCUUUGGAAACUGUGGG
This 305-nucleotide ribosomal RNA is filed under the name uncultured bacterium. Its description in RNAcentral is "bacterial SSU rRNA". It matches the Rfam family "Bacterial small subunit ribosomal RNA", at positions 337 to 639 of the family's 1533-position model. The record is from RNAcentral.